CAACACCUAUAAUCUACCUCAACACCUACAAGGUACUGUAGUCUACCUCAACACCUAUAAUCUACCUCAACACCUACAAGGUACUGUAGUCUACCUCAACACCUACAAGGUACUGUAGUCUACCUCAACACCUACAAGGUACUGUAGUCUACCUCAACACCUACAAGGUACUGUAGUCUACCUCAACACCUACAAGGUACUGUAGUCUACCUCAACACCUACAAGGUACUGUAGUCUACCUCAACACCUACAAGGUACUGUAGUCUACCUCAAC
Molecule: long non-coding RNA, 274 nt
Organism: Oncorhynchus tshawytscha (Chinook salmon)
Lineage: Eukaryota; Metazoa; Chordata; Actinopteri; Salmoniformes; Salmonidae
Exons: 2
Source: RefSeq, a predicted model, not a curated record